Molecule: ribosomal RNA, 2901 nt
Filed under: Escherichia coli 3-105-05_S1_C3
Lineage: Bacteria; Pseudomonadati; Pseudomonadota; Gammaproteobacteria; Enterobacterales; Enterobacteriaceae
Description: bacterial LSU rRNA
Rfam family: Bacterial large subunit ribosomal RNA
Source: RNAcentral
UAAGCGACUAAGCGUACACGGUGGAUGCCCUGGCAGUCAGAGGCGAUGAAGGACGUGCUAAUCUGCGAUAAGCGUCGGUAAGGUGAUAUGAACCGUUAUAACCGGCGAUUUCCGAAUGGGGAAACCCAGUGUGUUUCGACACACUAUCAUUAACUGAAUCCAUAGGUUAAUGAGGCGAACCGGGGGAACUGAAACAUCUAAGUACCCCGAGGAAAAGAAAUCAACCGAGAUUCCCCCAGUAGCGGCGAGCGAACGGGGAGCAGCCCAGAGCCUGAAUCAGUGUGUGUGUUAGUGGAAGCGUCUGGAAAGACGCGCGAUACAGGGUGACAGCCCCGUACACAAAAAUGCACAUGCUGUGAGCUCGAUGAGUAGGGCGGGACACGUGGUAUCCUGUCUGAAUAUGGGGGGACCAUCCUCCAAGGCUAAAUACUCCUGACUGACCGAUAGUGAACCAGUACCGUGAGGGAAAGGCGAAAAGAACCCCGGCGAGGGGAGUGAAAAAGAACCUGAAACCGUGUACGUACAAGCAGUGGGAGCACGCUUAGGCGUGUGACUGCGUACCUUUUGUAUAAUGGGUCAGCGACUUAUAUUCUGUAGCAAGGUUAACCGAAUAGGGGAGCCGAAGGGAAACCGAGUCUUAACUGGGCGUUAAGUUGCAGGGUAUAGACCCGAAACCCGGUGAUCUAGCCAUGGGCAGGUUGAAGGUUGGGUAACACUAACUGGAGGACCGAACCGACUAAUGUUGAAAAAUUAGCGGAUGACUUGUGGCUGGGGGUGAAAGGCCAAUCAAACCGGGAGAUAGCUGGUUCUCCCCGAAAGCUAUUUAGGUAGCGCCUCGUGAAUUCAUCUCCGGGGGUAGAGCACUGUUUCGGCAAGGGGGUCAUCCCGACUUACCAACCCGAUGCAAACUGCGAAUACCGGAGAAUGUUAUCACGGGAGACACACGGCGGGUGCUAACGUCCGUCGUGAAGAGGGAAACAACCCAGACCGCCAGCUAAGGUCCCAAAGUCAUGGUUAAGUGGGAAACGAUGUGGGAAGGCCCAGACAGCCAGGAUGUUGGCUUAGAAGCAGCCAUCAUUUAAAGAAAGCGUAAUAGCUCACUGGUCGAGUCGGCCUGCGCGGAAGAUGUAACGGGGCUAAACCAUGCACCGAAGCUGCGGCAGCGACGCUGAUGCGUUGUUGGGUAGGGGAGCGUUCUGUAAGCCUGUGAAGGUGUGCUGUGAGGCAUGCUGGAGGUAUCAGAAGUGCGAAUGCUGACAUAAGUAACGAUAAAGCGGGUGAAAAGCCCGCUCGCCGGAAGACCAAGGGUUCCUGUCCAACGUUAAUCGGGGCAGGGUGAGUCGACCCCUAAGGCGAGGCCGAAAGGCGUAGUCGAUGGGAAACAGGUUAAUAUUCCUGUACUUGGUGUUACUGCGAAGGGGGGACGGAGAAGGCUAUGUUGGCCGGGCGACGGUUGUCCCGGUUUAAGCGUGUAGGCUGGUUUUCCAGGCAAAUCCGGAAAAUCAAGGCUGAGGCGUGAUGACGAGGCACUACGGUGCUGAAGCAACAAAUGCCCUGCUUCCAGGAAAAGCCUCUAAGCAUCAGGUAACAUCAAAUCGUACCCCAAACCGACACAGGUGGUCAGGUAGAGAAUACCAAGGCGCUUGAGAGAACUCGGGUGAAGGAACUAGGCAAAAUGGUGCCGUAACUUCGGGAGAAGGCACGCUGAUAUGUAGGUGAAGUCCCUCGCGGAUGGAGCUGAAAUCAGUCGAAGAUACCAGCUGGCUGCAACUGUUUAUUAAAAACACAGCACUGUGCAAACACGAAAGUGGACGUAUACGGUGUGACGCCUGCCCGGUGCCGGAAGGUUAAUUGAUGGGGUUAGCCGCAAGGCGAAGCUCUUGAUCGAAGCCCCGGUAAACGGCGGCCGUAACUAUAACGGUCCUAAGGUAGCGAAAUUCCUUGUCGGGUAAGUUCCGACCUGCACGAAUGGCGUAAUGAUGGCCAGGCUGUCUCCACCCGAGACUCAGUGAAAUUGAACUCGCUGUGAAGAUGCAGUGUACCCGCGGCAAGACGGAAAGACCCCGUGAACCUUUACUAUAGCUUGACACUGAACAUUGAGCCUUGAUGUGUAGGAUAGGUGGGAGGCUUUGAAGUGUGGACGCCAGUCUGCAUGGAGCCGACCUUGAAAUACCACCCUUUAAUGUUUGAUGUUCUAACGUUGACCCGUAAUCCGGGUUGCGGACAGUGUCUGGUGGGUAGUUUGACUGGGGCGGUCUCCUCCUAAAGAGUAACGGAGGAGCACGAAGGUUGGCUAAUCCUGGUCGGACAUCAGGAGGUUAGUGCAAUGGCAUAAGCCAGCUUGACUGCGAGCGUGACGGCGCGAGCAGGUGCGAAAGCAGGUCAUAGUGAUCCGGUGGUUCUGAAUGGAAGGGCCAUCGCUCAACGGAUAAAAGGUACUCCGGGGAUAACAGGCUGAUACCGCCCAAGAGUUCAUAUCGACGGCGGUGUUUGGCACCUCGAUGUCGGCUCAUCACAUCCUGGGGCUGAAGUAGGUCCCAAGGGUAUGGCUGUUCGCCAUUUAAAGUGGUACGCGAGCUGGGUUUAGAACGUCGUGAGACAGUUCGGUCCCUAUCUGCCGUGGGCGCUGGAGAACUGAGGGGGGCUGCUCCUAGUACGAGAGGACCGGAGUGGACGCAUCACUGGUGUUCGGGUUGUCAUGCCAAUGGCACUGCCCGGUAGCUAAAUGCGGAAGAGAUAAGUGCUGAAAGCAUCUAAGCACGAAACUUGCCCCGAGAUGAGUUCUCCCUGACCCUUGAGAGUCCUGAAGGAACGUUGAAGACGACGACGUUGAUAGGCCGGGUGUGUAAGCGCAGCGAUGCGUUGAGCUAACCGGUACUAAUGAACCGUGAGGCUUAACCU